AGACUGAAAAUGCAAAGUGCACAAGAGUCUCUGGCCAGGACAGGCAUUGAAGGUCAGCUUGUUCUCCUCCUGGAGCUCAGCUCUGUGAUCAGGAAACCAAUUGUAAAGUCCAGAAUGAGGACACGGGCUCUACAUGGUGUGGAAUGGCAGUGAGACGGGCUAGGACUUCAGAACUCAACUGAUCACACACAGGAGGGAGAAGAACAACCAAGCUGGGCUUCAAGAUGCCUUAUUUGGACACUAGUUUUUGAUGUGUCUCUGAUGGUUAUUAACCAGACAUUUCAAGGGCAAGAAACUAUUUCCCCAAAACUACCUUUUGAGACAUUUCCAGAGGCUGCCCUGUCCUCUCUGUCCAGAGACUCAGCCCCGACUCACCUCCUCUAGGAAGUCUCCCACACGGACCUCGCUCUGCUCCCUCCUCCUCACGGCUGACCCUGCUGGGUCGUCCUGCCAGCUCGGACACUUGUUUGUUGUGGCUUUUGUAAAAUACUCUGUAGUCA
Homo sapiens (human) is the source of this 500-nucleotide long non-coding RNA. Ensembl annotates it as MYLK antisense RNA 2. Its record names the gene MYLK-AS2. The record is from Ensembl. NCBI's taxonomy places the organism in Eukaryota, Metazoa, Chordata, Mammalia, Primates, Hominidae.